UCAAAACACGAAAGCGAGUGCUACAUUUAAAAACAAAACAUUGAAGCAGUGGUUGAAUGGUUACAACAGCAAAAGCUGUUGCGGCACAAAUUUCAUGCACCAAACCCGUCCUGGAGAACAUGCAGCUGGAACACCAGUGAAACGAUGAAUUACGAUAUAUUACGGCUAAACUGAGGAGGAUAAAUAGAAUGCUGUUGCUGCCGCACUUUCUCCCUCAUUAUAACGUAUGAAAAUCCCGGCCGGUGAUGUUAACGAAUUGAAUGAGAAGGAUGCUUCGAAUGAUGAUGGUAUUACCAGAGUUGAAUGAUCAGUUUAUCGUCUUAUCGUCUUAUGCGUAUAAUAAAAUGAUUAUAAAGAACGCUUUU
This is a long non-coding RNA of Toxorhynchites rutilus septentrionalis, 365 nucleotides long. RefSeq lists it as uncharacterized. The record is from RefSeq and is a predicted model, not a curated record. The transcript is spliced from 3 exons. NCBI's taxonomy places the organism in Eukaryota, Metazoa, Arthropoda, Insecta, Diptera, Culicidae.